Molecule: ribosomal RNA, 513 nt
Filed under: uncultured bacterium
Lineage: Bacteria
Description: partial 16S ribosomal RNA
Rfam family: Bacterial small subunit ribosomal RNA
Source: RNAcentral
UCCGAACGCUGGCGGCAUGCCUAAUACAUGCAAGUCGAGCGAACAGAUGAAGUGCUUGCACUUCUGACGUUAGCGGCGAACGGGUGAGUAACACGUAAGGAAUCUACCUAUAAGCGGGGGAUAACAUUCGGAAACGGGUGCUAAUACCGCAUAAUAUCUUCAUCCGCAUGGAAGAAGAUUGAAAGACGGCUCUGCUGUCACUUAUAGAUGACCUUGCGGUGCAUUAGUUAGUUGGUGGGGUAACGGCCUACCAAGACGAUGAUGCAUAGCCGACCUGAGAGGGUGAUCGGCCACAUUGGGACUGAGACACGGCCCAAACUCCUACGGGAGGCAGCAGUAGGGAAUCUUCCGCAAUGGGCGAAAGCCUGACGGAGCAAUGCCGCGUGAGUGAAGAAGGCCUUCGGGUCGUAAAACUCUGUUAUAAGAGAAGAACAAAUUGUAGAGUAACUGCUACAGUCUUGACGGUAUCUUAUCAGAAAGCCACGGCUAACUACGUGCCAGCCGCCGCGGUAA